CCUACGGGAGGCAGCAGUGGGGAAUAUUGGGCAAUGGGCGCAAGCCUGACCCAGCAACGCCGCGUGAAGGAAGAAGGCUUUCGGGUUGUAAACUUCUUUUCUCAGGGACGAAGCAAGUGACGGUACCUGAGGAAUAAGCCACGGCUAACUACGUGCCAGCAGCCCCGGGAAUACGUAGGUGGCAAGCGUUAUCCGGAUUUACUGGGUGUAAAGGGCGUGUAGGCGGGAAAGCAAGUCAGAUGUGAAAACCAUGGGCUCAACCUGUGGCCUGCAUUUGAAACUGUUUUUCUUGAGUACUGGAGAGGCAGACGGAAUUCCUAGUGUAGCGGUGAAAGGCGUAGAUAUUAGGAGGAACACCAGUGGCGAAGGCGGCCUGCUGGACGACAACGGACGGUGAGGCGCGAAAGCGUGGGGAGCAAACAGGAUUAGAUACCCUGGUAGUC
RNAcentral lists this ribosomal RNA (443 nucleotides) under uncultured bacterium. Its description in RNAcentral is "partial 16S ribosomal RNA". It matches the Rfam family "Bacterial small subunit ribosomal RNA", at positions 338 to 795 of the family's 1533-position model. The record is from RNAcentral.